RNAcentral lists this ribosomal RNA (440 nucleotides) under uncultured bacterium. RNAcentral describes it as "partial 16S ribosomal RNA". It matches the Rfam family "Bacterial small subunit ribosomal RNA", at positions 338 to 795 of the family's 1533-position model. The record is from RNAcentral.
CCUACGGGGAGCAGCAGUGGGGGAUAUUGCACAAUGGGGGAAACCCUGAUGCUGCGACGCCGCGUGUGGGAAGACGGUCCUCUGGAUUGUAAACCACUGUCCCCAGGGACGAAGAUGCCGGUACCUGGGGAGGAAGCUCCGGCUAACUACGUGCCAGCAGCCGCGGUAAUACGUAGGGAGCGAGCGUUGUCCGGAAUUACUGGGUGGAAAGGGAGCGUAGGCGGGACUGCAAGUUGGGUGUCAAAUCUACCGGCUCAACCGGUAGCCGCACUCAAAACUGCAGUUCUUGAGUGAAGUAGAGGCAGGCGGAAUGCCUAGUGUAGCGGUGAAAUGCGUAGAUAUUAGGAGGAACACCAGUGGCGAAGGCGGCCUGCUGGGCUUUUACUGACGCUGAGGCUCGAAAGUGUGGGGAGCAAACAGGAUUAGAUACCCCUGUAGUC